Long non-coding RNA from Bos indicus x Bos taurus (hybrid cattle), 1317 nucleotides. Lineage: Eukaryota; Metazoa; Chordata; Mammalia; Artiodactyla; Bovidae. The record is from Ensembl.
AGCUGUGCUGCCUUUCGCUUCUCCUUUUACUGCGUUCUCUCAUGAAUCGAGGGAGUUGGAUGAAUCGUGGCAUUUUGCAGAUGGAGAUACCAACCCAGAGUAGACGAUGAGCAUCCCACCAAAAGCUGGACACUGGGACCUCUAACCCCUGGGGGCUGGAAAGUUCUGUCUGAAAGCAUGCCAACUGGAAAUCAGAUUAUGUGGAGGGGAUAAAAAUAGCCCUGCCUGCUACUCAGCACAACGCAGCCCAUCUUUGUCCUCAUGUCUCGGGUGCAAUCAACUUUGCCAGGACUUCUUCACCCUACUGGCUUCUUCCCAGAGCAGUGGAUCAAAGGUCAUCUGUCUUUCCUCCCUUUAUUCCCAGCUGUUUUUGCUGACUUUGUUUGAGGCAUCACCCAUCAGGGACUGGAAACAACUGUCUUUGUCUUCUUGACUGGUUUCUGCACUGUGGAUGGGCCCCAGCAGCUGACUCUCUGGCCCCAUCCGGGAGGCCCUGAUCCAAACACUGCUUAGCCGGCCCCCUCUCUUCAUAGGGCCAACAUGGGAGAGCAAUCCAAUGAGUCUUUGUUUUUCUGGAUCAAUCAUCUAAUGCAAGAAGCCCAGAGAACAGGUGAAACCCCUUUCUCAAAGUUUGGGAACGAAAGGAACCUCUCUGCUCUGUGAACUGAGCUGAAGCUCCAAAACAUUGGCCACCUGACGCAAAGAGCCAAGUCAUUGGAAAAGACCCUGAUGCUGGGAAAGAUUGAAGGCAAAAGGAGAAGGGGGUAACAGAGGUUCGAUACCAUCACCGACUCAGUGGACAUGAGUUUGAGCAAACUCCGGGAGAUGGUGAAGGACUGGAAAGUGUGGCACGCUGCAAUCCAUGGGGUUGCAGAGAGUUGGACACAACUUAGUAACUGAACAGCAACAAGGAAAUUAAUUAUAUUAAAAUGCAAUUCAUAAUGGCUGGGUUUAUGUGUUAACUUGAUAUAUAUCCAGAUAUCCAGGUAUUUAGUCAAUCAUAAGUCUGAGUGUGUCUGUGGGGGGAUUUUUGAAUGAGAUUAGUAUUUGGAUCCGUGGAAUGAGUAAAGCAGAUUGCUCUCCCCAGUGUGUGUGGCCUCCUCUAAUUAGUUGAAGGUCCAAACAGCACAAAAAGGCAGACCCUCUGGAGAAUGAGAGAAUUCUUGGGAAUCCUUAGAGUUCCAGUGGUUAGGACUUGGAGCUUCCACUGCUGAGGCCCUGGGGUUUGAUCCCCGAUUAGGGAACUAAGAUCUCCCAAGCCUUGUGGUGAGGCCAAAAAAAAAUAAAUAAAUAAAUAAAAAGAAAGUGUUUCCUACU